AGUAGAGAUGGGGUUUCUCCAUUUUGGUCAGGCUGGUCUCAAACUCCUGACCUCAGGUGAUCCACCCACC
Molecule: microRNA precursor, 70 nt
Filed under: Saimiri boliviensis boliviensis (Bolivian squirrel monkey)
Lineage: Eukaryota; Metazoa; Chordata; Mammalia; Primates; Cebidae
Description: miRNA (ENSSBOG00000016531.1)
Source: RNAcentral